This 5520-nucleotide long non-coding RNA is filed under the name Gallus gallus (chicken). Lineage: Eukaryota; Metazoa; Chordata; Aves; Galliformes; Phasianidae. The record is from RNAcentral.
GAAAGGAGAGCAGCCAGUGUGUGCUUCCUGGAGUGCCUGCAAGCCCCAAUAUCCACACAUGGACUAGGAGCGAGACUGGGAAUGGGAAAGCCAUGCUGGAGAUUGGGAGCAUCAUGUCUGCAAGAAUUGCUUCAACAGAACUAAAAGAAAUAUUCUAGACUGACAAUACAAUGAGACAGCAAAGGACAAAGUGGUAAAGAUGGUGUAGUAGAAAUGCUAAGUCAUGUCUUGAAACAGUGAUUGAGCACCUGCUGGGAAGACAGGGCCAACACAGGAUUGCUCAGGAGCAUGCAAUGCACCUGAGUGCAGGAUCCACCCCUUCCCAGACCUCAUUUAAGGGUUGGCAGUAGAGGCCAGAGGAUCUCUCUGGGGGUCCUUGCAUACCUGAGGCUUUCUGAAGGUAAGCGGCUUCUUUUCCUUAUUUCUGUGCCCACUGCUGUUGCAUUUGAGUGAAUCCUCACUUGCUGCAGCCUGGGAUCUUGCUGCUCUGCUGCCAUUGUUGUGCUUUCCAUCAUGUUACAGAUGGAAUCCAUCAGUUUGGGAAGUCAGGGCUGUCCCCUCAGUCUCAGCAGCAGCCAGAAGAUAACGGUCUCAGCACAAUCAACAUUGCUGUUUCUACAGUCUUUUAAUCUUCUCCUUUACCAAGAAAGAGAAAAAGAUAUUCUUUAUCUUUUCUUACCAAGCUAAUGAUCUUUCUUCCUCCAGAGAGGAAGUAAAUGAAUGGCUUCUCCACCCACUUUUCCAGUCUCCAGCCAUAUGACAGAAGUCCCUGCUGGCCUCAGAGCAGGAAGCAGUAGUGUGUUGAUCCCAGCCUUUUUAUUGCUGCUAGCAAUUAUCAUAAAAUUACUUUAUUGUGCAUGUGACAGUUGGUGACAGUCAAAGCAGCCUCUGCCCACUCUGAUUUUUCUCAACAAAAACUAUUAACCCAUGAGGGAUUGGAUGCUGGAGACUCCUUUUCUUUCACAUAAUAUGCAGCAUCUGCAACAGCUUGAGAGGAAUUUGGAGAAAAUCCUAGAGAAAAGUAUUAGGGCUCAGAAAGGGAAAUAAGUUUUCAAAGGAAGAUGGUAUUUUAAGCGGUUCAGUGUCAGCAUGACUUCUAAGGGCUAACAAGAAGCCCACUGGAAGGCUGUGAGGAACACUCCCAAAGGGAAGUAGCAAACUGGUGACAUAUAGAAGAUUUUAGGAUCACCUUUGGCUAUUUAGCAACCACUGCCCUUACGAGACAUCAAUCUAGAGCAAACCCUAGACCUUGAACCAAAAAUACAUUGCAAGCUUGGUUCUAAUUUAGGAAGAGGUGCAAACCUGUUUUCCUGCAUGAUUAACAGAGCAGAAGGCGGAGGGGGAAGCGAACAAGAAAACCAACCAUGUUCCUGCUUAACAGUCUUGGCAUGUCUGGCCUCAGGUACCCAAUCAGAUGCAGAGCUUUCUUCUCCUGCAGUACGAGCCACAUUAAACUUAGAAAUGAAGAGACUUCAACCCCCCAACAAUUGUAAUUCUCAGGUGCUCAAGAGCCUUUAAUUCAUUAUGAACCUAGAGGCAGAGACUUUAAAAAAAAAAAAGGCAAAAAAAUACAUCACAUCCUUAAUCUAGGAAAAAAGUCAGCAUUUUUAUAGCACAUCAUCAGACACUUACAAAUAUAUUUCACUGAAGGAAUGGGAGGGUAGGACUGUGCGUUUCCUAUUUCCUUUUCAAUAGUCUGAUGCACAGAGGCCAUCAACACAGCCAUUAGAGAUAAUCUGCACACAAGUCAUUCCUAAAUCAAAAAGAGAUUUAAAAAUGAACAAAAAGGGAGAACCCCUGCAAUGAGGAAGGGCAUUCCACAGAUCCAGAUUCACGUUUAAACGUAACUCAUCAUCUGAGUAUGGGGUGAGGAAACACAAUUUGUUUUGUACAAUAUAAAUAGUAUUUAAAAGAGUACUACAUGUGAACACAGUAAUGGUGCUAUUUCAGUCAGGACUUUACAUGCAGAGGAAAUUCCCUGUCACUCACAACCACUCAUCUCAUCCCACCCUUCCCCUACCCCUCCCAAAAAAACUCCUCUGCUGUUCAAAUUCUCUUGCAGCUGCUUUAAAUAUUUCUCCGAGGCCUGGCAACAUUCUUUUUCUUUUAUACAAGCAAGCUUUCUACUAAAUGAUGCUUUAACCGACAGAAGACAGCCACGCAGGAGGAACAACUGAGGCUUUUAAGGACCUUGCCAAUGUUUAAAACUUUUAUUAGUCUCAGUUUGUUUGAUUCUCAGAGACUUCUACUGAAAAACGUCAAAACCUCAGAAAUAAAAAAACCCUGUUUGAAACUUCUUACAAACAUGCACAUGUGCACACAAAGAAAGGAACCCACAGCAGAGGCAGUAAGAAAUAAAGGGAACUGCAAUUCUCUCAAGGGAGAACAAAAACCAAAAAGAAAAUUAAGAAAAAAAAUGACUGUCUCCACUCUUCACUAGGGCAGUUUAAAACUCAUCGAGUCUUGUACAAUGCUGAGCUACCAUCUACUAGCUCACAAAUCCUUCCCACUUACUCCCUAAAGAUCCAACUAUAGCACUGCUUAAAAACCAUUCCACAGAACAACGACCACCUUGCAAAGGGGCUUAAAAGAACAAAAGAAGAAAGAAUAUUGGAAUAUUGUCUCUUUCUGUCCAGUGACUUCAGGGAAUUAAGUGGAAAAGACUGCCAUGCAGCAUUGAGGAUAGCUUCUGCCAGACCAGGACAUCCAGGUGAGCAGCCAUGCACCCCGGCCCCCCCCACCCAGACAUCUGGAAGCCACAUCUCCUUCCCAGCUCUGCACUUAGGGCUGCAUUCGUCCUUCCUUCUGAUAGAGGUCCUCCAAAGAAAGCAGAGGACUUUCCAGUGACUCCAGCAGGGUUUUGGUUCAGGCUCUUAUAAAACACUGUUCCAUAACAGCUCUUCAACCAGAGGUGAUUUCCAAGUGUCCAAGUGGGAGCUGCCUACUCAAUACUUGAAGAUUUGUUUUUGCUUUUAAUGCUCAUUCAAUUCUCAGUGAACUGAGUCCAAUCAAAUGAAGGGCUUGCAUUCCUCUUCCCAGGAGUAUCUUAAAGGCUCAGUCUUUACUUAAGUAAAGGAUGUCACAACAAUCAAAGAUGUUUGGGGAAUUUCUUCUUUAAUAGGAUAAAAGAAAAACAUACAAACACCUCCCAGGCUUCUGUCAUGGAAUGAUUCUCACAACUGUAAGAACAACUCAGAAAAAUAAAAAUGGAGUCAAAGAAAUGAAAAAGGCUCCUAUGGGAGACAUGCCUACCAGAGAGCUAGAACAAUCCCUUUAUGCUCUAGUCUGCAGUGGGGAAGGGGAUGGCUUUUAAAGGAACUAACACAAGAAGCAGCAACAGAACACUUGCCAAAACUGAGUGGCAUAUUAUAACUGAAAGCCAUGCUCUUUGUUUUUUUUUGUUUUGUUUUGUUUUUUGUUUUGGGAUUUUUGUGUGUUUUUUUGUUUGUUUGUUUUGUUUUUAAACUAGAAAGCAACUUAGAUGGCAAAGGUGGGAAAGGAAGAUGACAAGAAUGACCACACCUGGCCAUUGCUUUACUACAUCCCUUCCUGGUGACAUGGCAGAAAUGCACACAUCUAUCACUUCUUUAAGAGAAUUAACAGUAAGAAACAUCCCAGCUAUGAAAUAUUUCUUUCCCCAUCUUCCCAAGGUUACAAAGGAGAUAGUGUUUCUUUACAAAAAGGAACCCAGAACUUUCCAGGACAUCUGUUCUUGCUUUCUCUCUCCCCAGUGUAAUAUUAGUCACAUUUCAUUGAGGGGUGAGAGGGGAGGAUUUUAUUUUCUGUUUUAAAGCCAUAAUCUAGAAAAAUGCUUUGUGGAAACCUUUGUUUUCCAAUUUUCGUUUGCUUUUUUUUUUUUUAAUAGUGCUUAUUUAUAGAAAACUUCACAAAGGUGACUUCUAUGUACAGAAAACACAAUUCCAAAGGCUGCUUCAGUAGUCAAUGUCAUAGCACCUUUAAAGACAAAAGAGUUUGACGUAUUUUAAAAAGUCACUUAGUCAAAUCUUAACCCUUUCCAGGCCUUAUAAAAAGGAGCUAAUCACAAAGCUCCAUCAGUACAAACGCUGGAAAGUCUCCAGGUGAAUUUCUGUCUGCAGGUUUCUCAGGCUCCCAGUUCUAUUGGUCUGGCAAAGUAGAGGUAGCGUGCAGCCAGACGUGAUUUUCUAGCAGUCCAAACCAGAAGAUGAUGAAAGGAGUUCACAGCAGGGUAUUGCACAACGCUGGUCUUACAUUCCAGAGUUUCCUGGUUAUUUUUCUACAGGCUUGAAAAGGGUUAACUUCAUAUUUAAUUAAUCCUGGUUAAAACAUGUUGCUCUGAGUUCCAGGUUGGUACUGUGUCUGCAACAGGCUCUCCAUAAAGGCCAAGUAAUCUGGGUUUUGUCCAUACUCUUCAGGAUUCCUUGCAUUCCCCAGCCGGGGACGCUUGGCUGCUCUCAUUUCAUCUCCCGAAAAUACAUCUUCCUGAGGGGCCCCAGUGCUGAGGGACUGCAGGAGGCAUGAAAGUACAGUAUUAGAGGCACAGGAGGAAAACAGAGGUAGAUGUGCACAAACUGUUGAGUGCGCCCGCUUAACCAGGCAGCAGACAUAACAUGGCAGCAAACAGUCUGGUACAGUGAACUUCUGAAGAAAAACUGAAUUCCGAAGCAUGCAAAUCACACAGCUGAAGGAAAAACCUCUGGGCUUCUGAAGCCAAACUGGAAGGAGAAGCCCUUGAGUUGCCUUCCUUCUGUAUCAGAACAUCUUUUACUUUGAUUCCUGCCUUGACAGUUCACUGUUUGCUCUUACCCUCUGUUGCUUCACAUUCUCCACUCCUAGAAUGCACACAGGAAAAGGGGCUUCCCUGAUGUCUGUUAAAGAAAGGAAAGACCCAAAGCACUUGGGGGCUAAGAUGACUUUACGGAUGAUUGCUGCUGUUCAUCCUCCUCUUACACUCUCAGAAGAGAUGCAUUUCUCGUAUUGCUUUGUUCCUCUGAACAUAUAAAGGAAAAAACAUUUAAAUGCUUCUCAAGCAUUUACACACCAAGGGUUUCAACAACCCUACAUAUUUUGCAAGUGAUCUGGAAUUUUACAGCGACAGAAGAUGAAGGCUGCAUUCACCUAAAGUCUAAACAAUAUGUUAAGAAAACGUGAACAAGUACGUCAAGCCACAGCCAUUUCAUUGUGUCUUUUACUUCAAUACCCACCAAGCGAGACUUCACUCUCUUCGGAAGCUCCUCCUCCAAGGUAUAAAUAUCACCACGCUUUACCAUUAGUUGCGAGCCAUCUUCAAACUCAACCUGAUAAAUCUGACUGAUCUGAGCUGCAAUAAACUUGGCCUUAUAGAUGAUUCCAUCUGUCCACUGCAGUUGAACCAUCUCACCCUCUGGAGGGGGUCCCAGCUGGAUGCAGUCUCUGCUAAUAAUGCUUUCUGGGUAAACGUUGUCACUGUAUGAACCAUCAUCAAAGUUUACUUCAUAGAAAGUCUGUGUUGUCAUGCCAAUGACUUUACAUCUGUAGUAGAGUCCAUUCCGGUUCUUUGUG